GAAAUGCGAUAAGUAAUGUGAAUUGCAGAAUUCAGUGAAUCAUCGAAUCUUUGAACGCACCUUGCGCUCCUUGGUAUUCCUUGGAGCAUGCCUGUUUGAGUAUCAUGAAAUCUUCAAAGUAAAUCUUUUGUUAACUCAAUUGGUUUCUACUUUGGUAUUGGAGGUCUUUGCAGCUUCACACCUGCUCCUCUUUGUUCAUUAGCUGGAUCUCAGUGUUAUGCUUGGUUCCACUCGGCGUGAUAAGUUAUCUAUCGCUGAGGACACUGUAAAAGGUGGACUAGGUAAAUGCAGAUGAACCGCUUCUAAUAGUCCAUUGACUUGGACAAUACUUUUAUGAUCUGAUCUCAAAUCAGGUAGGACUACCCGCUGAACUUAAGC
Molecule: unclassified non-coding RNA, 378 nt
Filed under: plant metagenome
Description: partial contains 5.8S ribosomal RNA, internal transcribed spacer 2, and large subunit ribosomal RNA
Rfam family: 5.8S ribosomal RNA (bases 1-105)
Source: RNAcentral